This 21-nucleotide microRNA is filed under the name Brachypodium distachyon (stiff brome). RNAcentral describes it as "bdi-miR7736-3p". Lineage: Eukaryota; Viridiplantae; Streptophyta; Magnoliopsida; Poales; Poaceae. The record is from miRBase by way of RNAcentral.
UGACAUAUCUGAUGGUAAAGG